GAAUUAGCCAGCCUGUAAGAGCCAGCAUGUUGCUUUAGCGUCGUGCACAAUGCAUACAGUAUAUACACAGCGCACAGCGACACCCGAGGCCACAGGAGGAAGGACAGGGGUAGCCUGAAUGACGCACAGUGGCACAUGGAACCUGCUGGAACGUUGCUAAUGGACCAGUACAUAAAGUUGGCCAUGAUCACUAAGAGGACAUUACGAGAUGACUGAGGAAAAUAAGUUUAUGGAUCUCUGGCCCCACAAUUCCAUUUACCAUCUACAAAUCCUACAUUAGCAGGUAUCACUUGUGGUCUAAUGGUGUCAGCAUGCUUGGAACCUGACUUUGACAACGUUACUCCAGUUACCCCGCGCUAGUCUGAUCCUGCACCAUCAUGAUGUCGGCACUCCACCAACUGCCUGGGACUGACCUGCUCUCCCACAGUGUGUCCUGUGCUCCUGCUGAUCACCUCACCUACCUGCCUGAGAACUACCAAUCGGACCCCUCCUGAAGCAGUCACCAGUGAACCGGUUCUUACGGCACCCAUGCAUGUUUGAGCUCUGCAUUCCCUGGCAUCACCUCCGGGGUGCUUGGACCAUAGCUGUGAGAAAAGCCCUCUCGUCACUUCGGCCUUCAACCAG
Molecule: long non-coding RNA, 624 nt
Organism: Rana temporaria (common frog)
Lineage: Eukaryota; Metazoa; Chordata; Amphibia; Anura; Ranidae
Exons: 2
Source: RefSeq, a predicted model, not a curated record